CUAAUACAUGCAAGUCGAGCGAACGGACGAGAAGCUUGCUUCUCUGAUGUUAGCGGCGGACGGGUGAGUAACACGUGGAUAACCUACCUAUAAGACUGGGAUAACUUCGGGAAACCGGAGCUAAUACCGGAUAAUAUUUUGAACCGCAUGGUUCAAAAGUGAAAGACGGUCUUGCUGUCACUUAUAGAUGGAUCCGCGCUGCAUUAGCUAGUUGGUAAGGUAACGGCUUACCAAGGCAACGAUGCAUAGCCGACCUGAGAGGGUGAUCGGCCACACUGGAACUGAGACACGGUCCAGACUCCUACGGGAGGCAGCAGUAGGGAAUCUUCCGCAAUGGGCGAAAGCCUGACGGAGCAACGCCGCGUGAGUGAUGAAGGUCUUCGGAUCGUAAAACUCUGUUAUUAGGGAAGAACAUAUGUGUAAGUAACUGUGCACAUCUUGACGGUACCUAAUCAGAAAGCCACGGCCAACUACGUGCCAGCAGCCGCGGUAAUACGUAGGUGGCAAGCGUUAUCCGGAAUUAUUGGGCGUAAAGCGCGCGUAGGCGGUUUUUUAAGUCUGAUGUGAAAGCCCACGGCUCAACCGUGGAGGGUCAUUGGAAACUGGAAAACUUGAGUGCAGAAGAGGAGAGUGGAAUUCCAUGUGUAGCGGUGAAAUGCGCAGAGAUAUGGAGGAACACCAGUGGCGAAGGCGACUUUCUGGUCUGUAACUGACGCUGAUGAGCG
RNAcentral lists this ribosomal RNA (725 nucleotides) under uncultured Staphylococcus sp. RNAcentral's name for it is "bacterial SSU rRNA". It matches the Rfam family "Bacterial small subunit ribosomal RNA", at positions 48 to 755 of the family's 1533-position model. The record is from RNAcentral. Lineage: Bacteria; Bacillati; Bacillota; Bacilli; Caryophanales; Staphylococcaceae.